Podarcis lilfordi (Lilford's wall lizard) is the source of this 1456-nucleotide non-coding RNA. The record is from the annotation of a GenBank genome assembly. Lineage: Eukaryota; Metazoa; Chordata; Lepidosauria; Squamata; Lacertidae.
CACUCAGCCAUGAAGCUCACUGAAUGACCUUUGGCCAGUCACCAUAUUUGAGCCUAACCUACCUCACAGGGUUGUUGUGAGGAUGGAAUGAGGAGAGGAGAAAUAUGGCAACCACUUUGAGACUCUUGGGAAAUAAACAUGGUAUGACACAAAUAAAUAAUACAAAGAGUUGUGGAAUCACGCAUAAGAAUAGAGCUGCUUAUCAGUGGCAGAACAACUGCCUUGCAUGCAGAAGGUCCAAGAUUCACUCUCCGGUAUUUCCAGGUAUAGCUGGGAAAGAUUCCUGCCUUAAAAUCUGGAGAGCUGUCAUCAGUCAAUGGAGACAACAGAUGAACACACCGCCUGUCUCUGAGUAAGACAGCUUCGAAUGGUCUUUUCCAUUAAGUGUAAUCUGGCCCUGUCCAUUUCCUAGGAGCUGCUUUAGGGAACGUUCUGUCUGCAGUGAAGCAGUUCAUGCUAGGAAUUGAAAUAGGAGUUUGAUGCUGCAUCCCUUCCUUGCUCUCAGUCAGGUCAUGAUCCAUGCAGAUGUUUCCAUUCAUUUCCACCUUCUCUUGAGUAGCCAGUGCCUGGAACGCCCUGGGAACUUGCUAUUGCUCAGCAGAGAGUGGGGGUGUCACGCAACUCUUGUAACAAUAUGUAUGUUUGUUGUAAACCACCUUGAUUUUUUUAAAUGAAUAGUGGUAUGCAAAUAUUUUUUCAUAAUUAAAAAAAACACCUGAGGAAAGUCCCUGUUGAUCAGGCCAAAGACCCAUCUACUCUAGCAUCCUGUUCUGACAGUGGCCAAACAGAUGUCCAUGAGAAGCCCACACACUUAAGGUGAAGUUCUGAGAAAACAGGAUCUAGAAGAACUUGGGUUAAGUGAAGCUUUUAAGAAUGCUACUGUAUUUGUUUUCCUUUAUCUGUGAGCACUUUUUUUGUGUGGUCUGUAAUAUGUUCAGAGUCUCUAGAAUUGCAGCUUUCGGGUUGUUUUGCAUUUGGUACUAUGAAAUCUGAGCGUUUGGGCAGAACUGAAUGUAAAAAUGUGCCUAUCUGAAGCGAAAGUGCCUGACGGCAAGCCAAACAGAAGUGAGUAAAGUGUGUGUGUGUGUGUGUGUGUGUGUGUGUGUGCACGCGCCAUCUUCCUUAUUGUUUUUAUUUAUUUAUUUUCUUGCCAGUCUCCAGCUGCUGCUCCUUUAGGGUUCACUUCACUUCGCUUCCAUGGGAUGCUUCCUCCGAGGAAAUCAGAAAGAGACGUUGUAAACAAGAAUUUACUGGAUGCUCACAAGCAUCGAGCAUCAAAAGAGCAAGGUCUGGGUGUACUUUAGUCUCCUCGCUGGUGCAGGUUUGGUUUGACUGUGCAAGUGAGCAGAUAGUGAGAAAUCUUUAUGUCAUAUGAUAGAAAAUGAACGAGACAGGCAGGAUGAAAACCAGAGGACUAAGCCGCUUCUGUGAGAUGUAUUGAAAGACAAUAAAAAAA